RNAcentral lists this ribosomal RNA (253 nucleotides) under uncultured bacterium. Its description in RNAcentral is "partial 16S ribosomal RNA". It matches the Rfam family "Bacterial small subunit ribosomal RNA", at positions 524 to 776 of the family's 1533-position model. The record is from RNAcentral.
UACGGGGGGAGCAAGCGUUGUUCGGAUUUACUGGGCGUAAAGGGCGCGUAGGCGGCGCGUCAAGUCACUUGUGAAAUCUCUGGGCUCAACCCAGAACGGUCAAGUGAUACUGUCGUGCUAGAGUGCGGAAGGGGCAACUGGAAUUCUUGGUGUAGCGGUGAAAUGCGUAGAUAUCAAGAGGAACACCUGCGGCGAAGGCGGGUUGCUGGGCCGACACUGACGCUGAGGCGCGAAAGCGUGGGGAGCAAACAGG